Molecule: ribosomal RNA, 468 nt
Filed under: uncultured bacterium
Lineage: Bacteria
Description: partial 16S ribosomal RNA
Rfam family: Bacterial small subunit ribosomal RNA
Source: RNAcentral
GACGAACGCUGGCGGCGUGCUUAACACAUGCAAGUCGAACGGAAAGGCCCUGCUUUUGUGGGGUGCUCGAGUGGCGAACGGGUGGGUAACACGUGAGUAACCUGCCCUUGACUUUGGGAUAACUUCAGGAAACUGGGGCUAAUACCGGAUAGGAGCUCCUGCUGCAUGGUGGGGGUUGGAAAGUUUCGGCGGUUGGGGAUGGACUCGCGGCUUAUCAGCUUGUUGGUGGGGUAGUGGCUUACCAAGGCUUUGACGGGUAGCCGGCCUGAGAGGGUGACCGGCCACAUUGGGACUGAGAUACGGCCCAGACUCCUACGGGAGGCAGCAGUGGGGAAUAUUGCACAAUGGGCGGAAGCCUGAGGCAGCAACGCCGCGUGCGGGAUGACGGCCUUCGGGUUGUAAACCGCUUUCGCCGGUGACGAAGCGUGAGUGACGGUAAUGGGUAAAGAAGCACCGGCUAACUACGUG